UACAGAGGUAGCAAGCGUUGUUCGGAAUUACUGGGCGUAAAGGGCGCGUAGGCGGUCCGAUAAGUCCCGUGUGAAAGCCCCCGGCUCAACUGGGGAACUGCACGGGAAACUGACGGACUUGAGUUCGGGAGAGGGAAGCGGAAUUCCGGGUGUAGCGGUGAAAUGCGUAGAUAUCCGGAGGAACACCGGUGGCGGAGGCGGCUUCCUGGACCGACACUGACGCUGAGGCGCGAAAGCUAGGGGAGCAAACGGG
RNAcentral lists this ribosomal RNA (253 nucleotides) under uncultured bacterium. RNAcentral describes it as "partial 16S ribosomal RNA". It matches the Rfam family "Bacterial small subunit ribosomal RNA", at positions 524 to 776 of the family's 1533-position model. The record is from RNAcentral.